Molecule: unclassified non-coding RNA, 807 nt
Filed under: Hevea brasiliensis (rubber tree)
Lineage: Eukaryota; Viridiplantae; Streptophyta; Magnoliopsida; Malpighiales; Euphorbiaceae
Source: RNAcentral
UGCCUACCAACAUAAUAAAUAUGUCUCUUCUAUUUAUGAAAUUCUUUUAGUAUAUGUCAAUCUUUGGUCAUAUAUCUGUUUUCCCUACCACCUUUAUCAAUCAUCAUCCACUCAAAUCAUGUUGCUCGACCUGCAAAUAAGAACAAUAGCUCAUUGGGACUUCAGUUUGGCCAAUUAACUGGUCAAUCCCUCCUAUAUCAGGACUCUGGAAGUACAUGUGAUUGAGCAUGAGUGCUAAAUUUUCAUCCACUUGGGUUUCAUCAGAUUUGGUCUUUUUGUCUUUAGCUGAGUCAUGAUGGUUUGGUAUUGGUGGCAGAGCUGCUUGCUUUCUUUUUGAACGAGCUCUCCUGUUCUGGAACCAAUUAUAGACAUUUGUUUCAGAAAUUGGGCCAUGCUCAGCAAGUUGAAUGGUAAUCUCUCUGAUUCUCUGCCUGUCUGGAGUUGUACUGCUUUGCUCAAACAUACUCUCCAGGAUUUCAAGCUGCGCUGGUUUGGGAGCCCACCUCUGCCUGGAAGGAAUCUUGUGGAAAGCAUAUGAUGAAAAUGGAUCAUUGUAAGGAUUGGCCAACCGCAUACCAGUAGAAUCUUGUUGAGCAGAUAUGGCCUUGUGCAUCUGAACAAGACUCUCGCAGAUGGUAGCAUAAACAGAGAUCUGUUUCCUCAGCAUCUCCAUUUGCUCAUCGGUCAUCACUUUCACCCCUAACCCAUCACUCAAUACCCCAUUCUGAUACUGCUCUUCCUCCCCCAUCUCCACUUCUCUUGGCUUUCUUGAUGUUUUCUUUCUCUUUCUCUCUCUUUUCUCUUCAC